AGGGAAACCGAGUCUUAACCGGGCGUUAAGUUGCAGGGUAUAGACCCGAAACCCGGUGAUCUAGCCAUGGGCAGGUUGAAGGUUGGGUAACACUAACUGGAGGACCGAACCGACUAAUGUUGAAAAAUUAGCGGAUGACCUGUGGCUGGGGGUGAAAGGCCAAUCAAACCGGGAGAUAGCUGGUUCUCCCCGAAAGCUAUUUAGGUAGCGCCUCGUGAAUUCAUCUCCGGGGGUAGAGCACUGUUUCGGCUAGGGGGCCAUCCCGGCUUACCAACCCGAUGCAAACUGCGAAUACCGGAGAAUGUUAUCACGGGAGACACACGGCGGGUGCUAACGUCCGUCGUGAAGAGGGAAACAACCCAGACCGCCAGCUAAGGUCCCAAAGUCAUGGUUAAGUGGGAAACGAUGUGGGAAGGCCCAGACAGCCAGGAUGUUGGCUUAGAAGCAGCCAUCAUUUAAAGAAAGCGUAAUAGCUCACUGGUCGAGUCGGCCUGCGCGGAAGAUGUAACGGGGCUAAACCAUGCACCGAAGCUGCGGCAGCGAACGUAUCACCCAAGACAACUUUACGGAGUUGACGAUUGACGGAGCGAAGCGACGUCAAAGCGUUCAUUAAAGUCGAGUUGGCUUAGGGAUACGUUCGUUGGGUAGGGGAGCGUUCUGUAAGCCUGUGAAGGUGUGUCGUGAGGCAUGCUGGAGGUAUCAGAAGUGCGAAUGCUGACAUAAGUAACGAUAAAGCGGGUGAAAAGCCCGCUCGCCGGAAGACCAAGGGUUCCUGUCCAACGUUAAUCGGGGCAGGGUGAGUCGACCCCUAAGGCGAGGCCGAAAGGCGUAGUCGAUGGGAAACGGGUUAAUAUUCCCGUACUUGGUGUUACUGCGAAGGGGGGACGGAGAAGGCUAUGUUGGCCGGGCGACGGUUGUCCCGGUUUAAGCGUGUAGGUGUGUGUUCCAGGUAAAUCCGGUUCACUUUAACACUGAGGCGUGACGACGAGGCACUACGGUGCU
RNAcentral lists this ribosomal RNA (1002 nucleotides) under Salmonella enterica. RNAcentral describes it as "partial 23S ribosomal RNA". It matches the Rfam family "Bacterial large subunit ribosomal RNA", at positions 670 to 1586 of the family's 2925-position model. The record is from RNAcentral. Lineage: Bacteria; Pseudomonadati; Pseudomonadota; Gammaproteobacteria; Enterobacterales; Enterobacteriaceae.